CCCGCUGAACUUAAGCAUAUCAAUAAGCGGAGGAAAAGAAACUAACAAGGAUUCCCCUAGUAACUGCGAGUGAAGCGGGAAAAGCUCAAAUUUAAAAUCUGGCGGUCUUGCGGCCGUCCGAGUUGUAAUCUGGAGAAGCGUUUAUCCGCGUCGGACCGUGUACAAGUCUUCUGGAAGGGAGCGUCGUAGAGGGUGAGAAUCCCGUCUUUGACACGGACAACCGGUGCUUUUGUGAUGCGCUCUCGAAGAGUCGAGUUGUUUGGGAAUGCAGCUCAAAAUGGGUGGUAAAUUCCAUCUAAAGCUAAAUAUUGGCGAGAGACCGAUAGCGAACAAGUACCGUGAGGGAAAGAUGAAAAGCACUUUGGAAAGAGAGUUAAACAGUACGUGAAAUUGUUGAAAGGGAAACGUUUGAAGUCAGUCGCGUCGGCCGAGACUCAACCUUGCUUCUGCUCGGUGCACUUCUCGGUUGACGGGUCAGCAUCAAUUUUGACCGCCGGAUAAAGGUCGGGGGAAUGUGGCAUCCUUCGGGAUGUGUUAUAGCCCUUGGUCACAUACAAUGGUUGGGAUUGAGGAACUCAGCACGCCGCAAGGCCGGGUUUUAAACCACGUACGUGCUUAGGAUGCUGGCAAUAUGGCUUUAAUCGACCCGUCUUGAAACACGG
RNAcentral lists this ribosomal RNA (662 nucleotides) under uncultured fungus. Its description in RNAcentral is "eukaryotic LSU rRNA". It matches the Rfam family "Eukaryotic large subunit ribosomal RNA", at positions 24 to 664 of the family's 3401-position model. The record is from RNAcentral. Lineage: Eukaryota; Fungi.